RNAcentral lists this ribosomal RNA (502 nucleotides) under uncultured bacterium. RNAcentral describes it as "partial 16S ribosomal RNA". It matches the Rfam family "Bacterial small subunit ribosomal RNA", at positions 28 to 523 of the family's 1533-position model. The record is from RNAcentral.
GAUGAACGCUGGCGGCAGGCUUAACACAUGCAAGUCGAGCGGGGUGAUGGUGCUUGCACUAUCACUUAGCGGCGGACGGGUGAGUAAUGCUUAGGAAUCUGCCUAUUAGUGGGGGACAACAUCUCGAAAGGGAUGCUAAUACCGCAUACGUCCUACGGGAGAAAGCAGGGGAUCACUUGUGACCUUGCGCUAAUAGAUGAGCCUAAGUCGGAUUAGCUAGUUGGUGGGGUAAAGGCCUACCAAGGCGACGAUCUGUAGCGGGUCUGAGAGGAUGAUCCGCCACACUGGGACUGAGACACGGCCCAGACUCCUACGGGAGGCAGCAGUGGGGAAUAUUGGACAAUGGGGGGAACCCUGAUCCAGCCAUGCCGCGUGUGUGAAGAAGGCCUUAUGGUUGUAAAGCACUUUAACGAGGAGGAGGCUCUUUUGGUUAAUACCCAAGAUGAGUGGACGUUACUCGCAGAAUAAGCACCGGCUAACUCUGUGCCAGCAGCCGCGGUAA